This 409-nucleotide long non-coding RNA is filed under the name Nicotiana tabacum (common tobacco). Its description in RNAcentral is "long non-coding RNA (NTAB_LNC016820)". The record is from RNAcentral. Lineage: Eukaryota; Viridiplantae; Streptophyta; Magnoliopsida; Solanales; Solanaceae.
UGUGAUCUUUAACCUCCAAUCAAACUCUUGCCCAAGUAAAAUCUACUAUCAUUUUCACUUUCAAUAUAUUACUUCUCUCUCUCAAUCUCUCUGUACCUGUGUGUCUCUUCUCCAAUUUUUUUGUUGUUGUUGAUUUAAUAGCAUAGAAGACCCAAUCUGGAAUGAUGGUCGUUUCAAGAUAAGGUAUAUAAUCUACUCUACUUUCUUUUGAUAUGUAUUUAGGGCAUUAUCAAUAUGGAUAUCUCCAGAUGGCAUAUCACAUGUAUGUAUUGAUGUGUUUUUAUUUAUUUUUAAUUUUAUUUUAAGGGUAUGAAGAAAUUUUGUCUAUUGUUCUUUAAUUUUUGAGAGGUUAAAAGCUCAAAAUUUUCAGUCUUAAUCUGAAUGUGGUUACAGCCAAAGAAGAACCGGA